GCUGGGCGUGGUGGCUCACGCCUGUAAUCCCAGCACUUUGGGAGGCUGAGGCGGGUGGAUCACCUGAGGUCAGGAGUUCAAGACCAGCCUGACCAACAUGGAGAAACCCCGUCUCUA
Molecule: signal recognition particle RNA, 117 nt
Filed under: Gorilla gorilla gorilla (western lowland gorilla)
Lineage: Eukaryota; Metazoa; Chordata; Mammalia; Primates; Hominidae
Description: Metazoan signal recognition particle RNA
Rfam family: Metazoan signal recognition particle RNA
About the family: The signal recognition particle (SRP) is a universally conserved ribonucleoprotein. It is involved in the co-translational targeting of proteins to membranes.
Source: Rfam by way of RNAcentral